This 2712-nucleotide long non-coding RNA is filed under the name Mus musculus (house mouse). RNAcentral describes it as "long non-coding RNA chr16:72157428-72160140". Lineage: Eukaryota; Metazoa; Chordata; Mammalia; Rodentia; Muridae. The record is from RNAcentral.
UUUGGGCUUCUUUGAGUUUGCUGGGUUUGCUACUAGCUAAAAGAAAUGUGUGAACAUAAAACAUUUCCAUAGAAUUUAAUUAUUUGUUUUGCUUUUGUUAUUUUAGAGGAGAAAAUAUUUUUAUAGUGUUGUUUUAAAGAUUAAAUGGAGGUCAUAUAGCAUCACACUAUUUUUAUUUUUUAUUUAUUCCUUGAGCAUUCCAUGCCAAUAUAUUUCCUUCCUCCAACUCCUCCUGGAUUUUUUUCCCAACCAUAUCUACCCAAAUUCAUGUUUGUGUGUUUUUUAAUUAGUAUUUACAUCUCUUAAAACAAGAACUAGUACCAACGACAUAGAGGAAUUUUAAUUCAGCAAUAUGCCUGCUCUGGCCGACACAUCAGAUCACAUCCAAAGACCUUCAAGGUUUGUGUGAUCUGGCUGGAAUGCAGACAUCCCACACGCCUUUAAUCCCUCUGAUGGAACACAGACACUCUCUAAGUACACACCUUAAUCGCAAACAAUAACCUCCAUGCGGGGUCUUGGGUAUGUAGGAAAGAGGAGAGAGGGAGAGAGCCCAAGUCCCUCCAGAUUUCCAGUGCUCUGGGUGGGUGGACGCAGGAGGAUUCCUGGACACUUUCCACGCGGCCCUGGGAGGGUAAGGUGGGCAUCUGGCUGUGUUAGGCCACUGACCCCACACGGAGGGUUGUGGACAAGGGGCAGCCCCAGAAACCAGGCUCUCGACCUCGGACAUCCCACGCUGGAUACGGGGCUGGGGAGCUGAGAACAAAAUAGCCCCCGCGCCCCCCCAAAAUAAGGGAAGAGGGCAGGGAAAGGGGUAGCGCUGGGUGUUACCCUCGAAGGCAAGAGUCCUUAGUCCCAUCCAUGGCUACAGCUUAGGAAGGCCUUCUGGCUGGAGGAGAAAGCCUCUCCCAUCAUUCAAGCAUGACAGGCCUUCAUGAUCAGAAUCAGUCUCUGGUUUUAGAGAUUUAUUGUAGAAAGGCAGGGACAAAGGUGAGAAGGUAGAAAGAGAGAGGGAGAGGCCGGCCAUGGCCAUGAGGGGAGAAGAGGGAAAAGCGAGAGAGAGAAGGAGAGCUAGAGAGUAAGAAAGGUUAAAGAGAGCGAGGAAAGGCCAAACAGCCCCAGUUAUAGUGGGCUUGUUAUCUUGCUGUUGCUAGGUAAUUGUGGGGAGGAGUCUAACGAGAAGGGACAUUGUCUAUGUGACCGAUUGCCACUGCUUCUUCUGUGGGGACUGUGGGGGCUGUAACAUCGACAGGAGCCAGGGGUCCAGGGAACAUGAUCGAAUGCCUUCAGUCCCAUGUAGGUGGAAAUUACCACCACUGGGUCCCACCGGGGUUUAAGACCUCAGCUUGACUUGAGACCAGGCUGUCUGCAUAGCCCAUUGCCCCACACUCUAAUUGAGGGGCAGACCAAGUGACCAAUCAGAGAAAAAAUUGACAGAAUGAAUCAGAGAUUGGAUAUUCCCAAGUCCCAUAAGAACAGGCAGGAAAGAGAGGCUACUUAAGAGCCCUGCAGAGAGUCAGAGAAGAGGGCAGUUCAGUGGGUGCAGUUGAGCUAAGCUCAGGCAAUGCAGGAGAGUUCAGUUUGGUUUGGUUCUGAGCCAUUGUUCAGUUGAAUGCAGUCAGUGCAGUUCAGUUCGUGGAAAUCAGAGGCAGUUUUUUUCUAGCAGAACAAUUCCUUCAGAACCCCCCCAAAAACCAACAACAAAAAACAAACAAACCAACAAACAAACAAACAAACAAACAAAAAACUAAUUUGAAUCAGUAAGCUUGGAAAGGAGUUUCGACAGAACAGCUGAGUUGAACCAGCCAAGUGGAGUUCAAAAUGAGCUAGAAAGGGUGAAUUUAAUCAGCUGGACACCUCCAAGAUAACAGUUAUAGCUGGUGAAUAAAACAUACAUUUACACAAUGCAGGGAAAAAGCGCGCGCGCGCGCGCGCACACACACACACACACACACACACACACACACACAAAAUGCCACAGGGAAUAAUUUGUGUUGACCAACUACUCCAGAGCAUGAGAUCUGGCCUACAGUAUGGUAGAUAGAGCCAAUGUCACCCCAGAAAAGAAAACCGAUUUUCCCUCUCAACAGGAGUUAUCCAUUCCUCAUUGCUUCUUAGCUGGUGGUAAGACUUGUGACCACAUUCCAUUCCCCAGGCUGGGAUUUUGACUGGCUUGAAUUUGUGGAGGUUUUGUGUAUCGUGUUACCACCUCUGUAUAUUCUAGUGUGGAUCACCCUGUUAUGUCACAAAACACCACAUUCCACAUUCGUGUGUCACAGACCAUGAAGACAUGGAAACUUCAUCAGUAUUGAGUGGAGUUUAUAGUGCUUAAGUGGAUAUCCAUACUACCAAAGUUAAACAUAAUCAUCGAUCUCACCCAGCAACAAAGCCCUUAAAAAACAAUAGUAACCUGCUGUGAGAUACAACAGUGCAGAAGUGGCAAACAUGUUACAGGAGUGAACAACCACUGAUAGGAUAAAGGAACACUCCACAAGACAUAAGAUGUCUGUAGUACCCAAGACCAUUGAUGAGGCCAAGAAAUCUGAUUCUAGGUAGGUCAAAAUCUUAGAUGGAAGCCCAUUAUUAUUAUUCUACUGGAUGAAGAUAUAAUGAAAUAAUUCCGAGUGGCCUAUUGCUGUAGCCAUAGAUCAGUUCAUGACACUACACUCAUUAUUAUAGAAAGUUCUUCUUGUAGUAGAUAGAAACAUGGAGACA